AGAAGGAAAACACAUUGGUUAUCAUGGGAUAAAUUAACAAGGCCUAAAGGUAAGGGUGGUAUGGGAUUUCAUGAUCUCAAACUUUUUAAUCAAGCUCUUUUGGCAAAAUAGGCGUGGCGUUUAUUGAUUUAUCUGGACUCGUUGUGUGCGAAGUUGAUGAAGGCAAAGUAUUAUCCUCAGGGUCAUAUUCUAGAUACAGUAUUUCCGCAAUCUUCAUCAGUAACUUGCCAAGGUAUUGUGCAUUGUUUGGAAUUGCUGAAGAAAUGGGUCAUUUGGAGGGUUUGGGAUGGUUCUAGUAUUAAUAUUUGGAGGGACAAUUGGAUACCUAGAAACUAA
RNAcentral lists this ribosomal RNA (336 nucleotides) under Triticum aestivum (bread wheat). RNAcentral describes it as "partial small subunit ribosomal RNA". Lineage: Eukaryota; Viridiplantae; Streptophyta; Magnoliopsida; Poales; Poaceae. The record is from RNAcentral.